This is a long non-coding RNA of Hippocampus comes (tiger tail seahorse), 475 nucleotides long. RefSeq lists it as uncharacterized. The record is from RefSeq and is a predicted model, not a curated record. Lineage: Eukaryota; Metazoa; Chordata; Actinopteri; Syngnathiformes; Syngnathidae. The transcript has 3 exons.
UUUUUAAAUGUGUACCUUUUCUUCCAGAUUUGCAGGGACCUAGGAGAUAUUGGUGUGGGAGUCUAUCUCACUGGAUGCCAAGCCUGCGUGGUGGAGCAGCUGGAAAGAGCAGGUUUCUUCUCAGAGUCCAUCCCAAAGAACAGACUGUUUGUCACAAUCCAUGAUGCUGUGCUCCACAUUCUUAACAAAGUGGGACAGACAGACGUCAUCCUUGAUGUUGCCUACAACACCAAAAUGUGACCAGCAGGGGCCAGCCUGUUCCAACUCGCCAUUCCUCCAUUCCCAUUUGCUUUUGAACUGAAGGCGUGCAGUUGCUCACUAUUGGUACACAUUCUCGUCUCCUCCCCCCAUAUGGGGAGAAAAGUCCGCCACCUCAACAUGGCGGCGCAAUUGCCAUGGAAAUACAGGGAGCCGUUGCUGACAAUGAGCGUUUUGUUUUAUUGUCUAAUGAGAUGAAGCAGCUUCUGUGACAGAA